This 148-nucleotide non-coding RNA is filed under the name Gorilla gorilla gorilla (western lowland gorilla). The record is from Rfam by way of RNAcentral. Lineage: Eukaryota; Metazoa; Chordata; Mammalia; Primates; Hominidae.
GCUGGGUGUGGUGGUGCGCACCUGUAAUCCCAGCUGCUCGGGAAGCUGAGACAGGAGAAUUGCUUGAACCCAGGAGGCUGAAGUUGCAGUAAGCCAAGAUUGUGCCACUGCACUCCAACCUGGGCAACACAGCAAGACUCCGUCUCAA